UACGUAGGGGGCAAGCGUUGUCCGGAAUCAUUGGGCGUAAAGAGCGUGUAGGCGGCCCGAUAAGUCCGCUGUGAAAGUCCAGGGCUCAACCCUGGAAUGCCGGUGGAUACUGUCGGGCUCGAAUCCGGAAGAGGUGAGUGGAAUUCCUGGUGUAGCGGUGAAAUGCGCAGAUAUCAGGAGGAACACCAAUGGCGAAGGCAGCUCACUGGGACGGUAUUGACGCUGAGACGCGAAAGCAUGGGGAGCGAACAGG
RNAcentral lists this ribosomal RNA (253 nucleotides) under uncultured bacterium. Its description in RNAcentral is "partial 16S ribosomal RNA". It matches the Rfam family "Bacterial small subunit ribosomal RNA", at positions 524 to 776 of the family's 1533-position model. The record is from RNAcentral.